AAGCUCGUAGUUGAAUUUCGGGAUCAAUAUAUUGGUCAUGCUUAGGUAUGUACUGGUAUUAUUGAUUUCUCCCUUCUGAAGAACCAUGAUGUCAUUUAUUUGAUGUCGUGGGGAAUCAGGACUGUUACUUUGAAAAAAUUAGAGUGUUUAAAGCAGGCUUUCGCUUGAAUACAUUAGCAUGGAAUAAUGAAAUAGGACGUUUGAUUCUAUUUUGUUGGUUUCUAGGAUCGACGUAAUGAUUAAUAGGGAUAGUUGGG
Molecule: ribosomal RNA, 257 nt
Filed under: uncultured Glomus
Lineage: Eukaryota; Fungi; Glomeromycota; Glomeromycetes; Glomerales; Glomeraceae
Description: partial 18S ribosomal RNA
Rfam family: Eukaryotic small subunit ribosomal RNA
Source: RNAcentral